RNAcentral lists this ribosomal RNA (1998 nucleotides) under human gut metagenome. RNAcentral describes it as "bacterial LSU rRNA". It matches the Rfam family "Bacterial large subunit ribosomal RNA", at positions 831 to 2814 of the family's 2925-position model. The record is from RNAcentral.
AAUCGAACGUGGAGAUAGCUGGUUCUCCCCGAAAUAGCUUUAGGGCUAGCCUCGAGGUAGAGAUUGCAGGCGGUAGAGCACUGAUCAGGAGAGGGGCCUACCCGGCUACCAAACCCAGUCAAACUACGAAUGGCUGCAAUUAUACUCGGGAGUCAGACUACGACUUAUAAGGGCCGUGGUCAAAAGGGAAACAGCCCAGAUCAUCAGCUAAGGUCCCAAAUGCCGUGCUAAGUGGCGAAGGAUGUGGCGUUUCAUAAACAACCAGGAUGUUGGCUCAGAAGCAGCCACCAUUUAAAGAGUGCGUAAUAGCUCACUGGUCGAGAGACGCUGCGCCGAAAAUGUCCGGGGCUCAAGCACGGAACCGAAGCUAUGGCAUGAUAGCAAUAUCAUGGGUAGGGGAGCGUUCUUAACAGGAAGAAGCAUGACCGGAAGGACAUGUGGACCGUUAAGAAGUGAGAAUGCCGGUAUGAGUAUCGAAAAGAAAGGUGAGAAUCCUUUCCACCGAAAGCCCGAGGGUUCCUGAGCAACGAUCGUCGUCUCAGGGUAAGUCGGGACCUAAGCCGAGGCGGAGACGCAUAGGCGAUGGACAACAGGUUGAAAUUCCUGUACCGGAUACAAUCGUUUGAGCGAUGGAGCGACGCAGAAAGGCAUAUGAUCGCGCGACUGGAAGAGCGCGUCCAAGUGCGUAUGUUGAAUCGGAGGCAAAUCCCUGAUUCUAAAAGCAGAGACACGAUGGGGAGUUAUACGAAAGUAUGACGAACUCAUAGAUCCUACACUGCCAAGAAAAACUUCUAGUGAGAAAGUAUCCGCCCGUACCGUAAACCGACACAGGUAGGCGGGGAGAGAAUCCUAAGGUGCGCGGGAAAACCCUCGUUAAGGAACUCGGCAAAUUGCAUCCGUAACUUAGGGAGAAGGAUGACCUUAAGUAAGCGAAAGGGAGAAACCCCUGGAACAGAACAAGGUGGCAGAAAAGAGGCCCAAGCAACUGUUUACCAAAAACACAGGUGCCUGCGAAAGCGAAAGCUGAAGUAUAGGUGCUGACGCCUGCCCGGUGCUGGAAGGUUAAGGAGAGAUGUCAGAGCAAUCGAAGCAUUGAACUGAAGCCCCAGUGAACGGCGGCCGUAACUAUAACGGUCCUAAGGUAGCGAAAUUCCUUGUCGGGUAAGUUCCGACCCGCAUGAAAGGCGUAAUGAUUUGGGCACUGUCUCAACGAGGGGCCCGGUGAAAUUGAAAUACCUGUGAAGAUGCAGGUUACCCGCGACUGGACAGAAAGACCCCAUGGAGCUUCACUGCAGCUUGAGAUUGAAUCUCGGUGAUGCAUGCACAGGAUAGGUGGGAGACUUUGAAGUAUGGGCUUUGGCUUAUACUGAGUCGAUGUUGGGAUACCACCCUUGUAUUGCUGAGAUUCUAACACGGAGGCUAACAACCUCGUGGACCAUCUCAGGUAGGCGGUUUGACUGGGGCGGUCGCCUCCGAAAGAGUAACGGAGGCGCCCAAAGGUUCCCUCAGGUCGGACAGAAACCGACCGAAGAGUGCAAAGGCAGAAGGGAGCUUGACUGCGAGACAGACAAGUCGAGCAGAGACGAAAGUCGGGCUUAGUGAUCCGGUGGUACUGUGUGGAAAGGCCAUCGCUCAACGGAUAAAAGCUACCCUGGGGAUAACAGGCUAAUCUCUCCCAAGAGUUCAUAUCGACGGGGAGGUUUGGCACCUCGAUGUCGGCUCAUCACAUCCUGGAGCUGGAGUAGGUUCCAAGGGUUGGGCUGUUCGCCCAUUAAAGUGGUACGCGAGCUGGGUUCAAAACGUCGUGAGACAGUUUGGUUCAUAUCCAUCGCGGGCGCAAGAAGUUUGAGGGAGGCUGCUCCUAGUACGAGAGGACCGGAGUGGACGGAUCAACGGUGUACCAGUUGUCACGCCAGUGGCACGGCUGGAAAGCCGCAUCCGGAAAGGAUAAACGCUGAAAGCAUCUAAGCGUGAAGCCCGUCCCGAGAUGAGACUUCU